RNAcentral lists this ribosomal RNA (480 nucleotides) under uncultured bacterium. RNAcentral describes it as "partial 16S ribosomal RNA". It matches the Rfam family "Bacterial small subunit ribosomal RNA", at positions 28 to 507 of the family's 1533-position model. The record is from RNAcentral.
GACGAACGCUGGCGGCGCGCCUAACACAUGCAAGUCGAGCGAUGAAAUUUUAACCGAUCUCUUCGGAGAGAAGAUAAAAUGGAUUAGCGGCGGACGGGUGAGUAACACGUGAGAAACCUGCCUUUCACAAGGGGAUAGCCUCGGGAAACCGGGAUUAAUACCCUAUGACACAUUUCCUUCGCAUGGAAGAAAUGUUAAAACUCCGGUGGUGAAAGAUGGUCUCGCGCCUGAUUAGCUAGUUGGUGGGGUAACGGCCCACCAAGGCCAUGAUCAGUAACCGGGCUGAGAGGGUGAACGGUCACAUUGGAACUGAGACACGGUCCAAACUCCUACGGGAGGCAGCAGUGGGGAAUAUUGCACAAUGGAGGAAACUCUGAUGCAGCGACGCCGCGUGAGCGAUGAAGGCUUUCGAGUCGUAAAGCUCUGUCCUAUGGGAAGAUAAUGACGGUACCAGAGGAGGAAGCCCCGGCUAACUACGUG